AACCUCGUAGCUUAGUGGUUAUAGCCCCACACCUUAUUACUUCCCUGAUCACUAUGGCUUGCGGACGUCGCAGCUUCAAUUCCUGCUGAGGUCA
Non-coding RNA from Mycena rosella, 94 nucleotides. Lineage: Eukaryota; Fungi; Basidiomycota; Agaricomycetes; Agaricales; Mycenaceae. The record is from the annotation of a GenBank genome assembly.